UACGUAGGGUGCGAGCGUUAAUCGGAAUUACUGGGCGUAAAGUGUGCGCAGGCGGCGCCGCAAGUCGAGUGUGAAAGCCCCGAGCUUAACUUGGGAACUGCGUCCGAUACUGGAUGGCUUGAAUCCGGGAGAGGGAUGCAGAAUUCCAGGUGUAGCGGUGAAAUGCGUAGAUAUCUGGAGGAAUACCGGUGGCGAAGGCGGCAUCCUGGACCGGCAUUGACGCUGAGGAGCGAAAGCCAGGGGAGCAAACGGG
Molecule: ribosomal RNA, 253 nt
Filed under: uncultured bacterium
Lineage: Bacteria
Description: partial 16S ribosomal RNA
Rfam family: Bacterial small subunit ribosomal RNA
Source: RNAcentral